CCUACGGGAGGCAGCAGUGGGGGAUAUUGCACAAUGGGCGAAAGCCUGAUGCAGCGACGCCGCGUGAGGGAAGACGGUCUUCGGAUUGUAAACCUCUGUCUUUGGGGAAGAAAAUGACGGUACCCAAAGAGGAAGCUCCGGCUAACUACGUGCCAGCAGCCGCGGUAAUACGUAGGGAGCAAGCGUUGUCCGGAAUUACUGGGUGUAAAGGGAGCGUAGGCGGGAUGGCAAGUAGAAUGUUAAAUCCAUCGGCUCAACCGGUGGCUGCGUUCUAAACUGCCGUUCUUGAGUGAAGUAGAGGCAGGCGGAAUUCCUAGUGUAGCGGUGAAAUGCGUAGAUAUUAGGAGGAACACCAGUGGCGAAGACAGCCUUCCGGCGCCCUACUGACGCUGAGGCACGAAAGUGCGGGGAUCGAACAGGAUUAGAUACCCGUGUAGUC
Molecule: ribosomal RNA, 439 nt
Filed under: uncultured bacterium
Lineage: Bacteria
Description: partial 16S ribosomal RNA
Rfam family: Bacterial small subunit ribosomal RNA
Source: RNAcentral